RNAcentral lists this ribosomal RNA (395 nucleotides) under Marimonadida sp. RNAcentral describes it as "partial small subunit ribosomal RNA". It matches the Rfam family "Eukaryotic small subunit ribosomal RNA", at positions 582 to 975 of the family's 1831-position model. Lineage: Eukaryota; Cercozoa; Imbricatea; Marimonadida. The record is from RNAcentral.
AUUCCAGCUCCAGUAGCGUAUAUUAAAGUUGUUGCAGUUAAAAAGCUCGUAGUUGGAUUUCUGGCUUUAUAGAACUGACCCGCCACGUUAGUGUGUGAGUGUCGGCUUCUAUAUGCCAUCCUUCCACAGAACGUUUCUACUCUUGAUUGAGCCGGAUUCGCAAUGUGGAACUUUUACUUUGAAAAAAUUAGAGUGUUCAAAGCAGGCUUACGCUAUGAAUACAUUAGCAUGGAAUAAUAAUCUAGGACUUUGGUUCUAUUUUGUUGGUUUCUAGAACUGGAGUAAUGAUUAAUAGGGAUAGUCGGGGGCAUUCGUAUUCAAACGACAGAGGUGAAAUUCUUGGACCGUUUGAAGAUGAACUAAGGCGAAAGCAUUUGCCAAGAAUGUUUUCAUUG